CAAUGGAGGGACGCAGAAGGAUAGAAGAAGCGUGCGAUUGGUUGUGCACGUCCAAGCAGUUAGGCUGAUAAGUAGGCAAAUCCGCUUAUCAUAAAGGCUGAGCUGUGAUGGGGAAGCUCCUUAUGGAGCGAAGUCUUUGAUUCCCCGCUGCCAAGAAAAGCUUCUAGCGAGAUAAAAGGUGCCUGUACCGCAAACCGACACAGGUAGGCGAGGAGAGAAUCCUAAGGUGUGCGAGAGAACUCUGGUUAAGGAACUCGGCAAAAUGACCCCGUAACUUCGGGAGAAGGGGUGCUUUCUUAACGGAAAGCCGCAGUGAAUAGGCCCAAGCGACUGUUUAGCAAAAACACAGCUCUCUGCGAAGCCGUAAGGCGAAGUAUAGGGGGUGACACCUGCCCGGUGCUGGAAGGUUAAGGAGAGGGGUUAGCGUAAGCGAAGCUCUGAACUGAAGCCCCAGUAAACGGCGGCCGUAACUAUAACGGUCCUAAGGUAGCGAAAUUCCUUGUCGGGUAAGUUCCGACCCGCACGAAAGGUGUAACGAUUUGGGCACUGUCUCAACCAGAGACUCGGUGAAAUUAUAGUACCUGUGAAGAUGCAGGUUACCCGCGACAGGACGGAAAGACCCCGUGGAGCUUUACUGUAGCCUGAUAUUGAAUUUUGGUACAGUUUGUACAGGAUAGGCGGGAGCCAUUGAAACCGGAGCGCUAGCUUCGGUGGAGGCGCUGGUGGGAUACCGCCCUGACUGUAUUGAAAUUCUAACCUACGGGUCUUAUCGACCCGGGAGACAGUGUCAGGUGGGCAGUUUGACUGGGGCGGUCGCCUCCUAAAGUGUAACGGAGGCGCCCAAAGGUUCCCUCAGAAUGGUUGGAAAUCAUUCGUAGAGUGCAAAGGCAUAAGGGAGCUUGACUGCGAGACCUACAAGUCGAGCAGGGACGAAAGUCGGGCUUAGUGAUCCGGUGGUUCCGCAUGGAAGGGCCAUCGCUCAACGGAUAAAAGCUACCCCGGGGAUAACAGGCUUAUCUCCCCCAAGAGUCCACAUCGACGGGGAGGUUUGGCACCUCGAUGUCGGCUCAUCGCAUCCUGGGGCUGUAGUCGGUCCCAAGGGUUGGGCUGUUCGCCCAUUAAAGCGGUACGCGAGCUGGGUUCAGAACGUCGUGAGACAGUUCGGUCCCUAUCCGUCGUGGGCGUAGGAAAUUUGAGAGGAGCUGUCCUUAGUACGAGAGGACCGGGAUGGACGCACCGCUGGUGUACCAGUUGUUCUGCCAAGGGCAUAGCUGGGUAGCUAUGUGCGGAAGGGAUAAGUGCUGAAAGCAUCUAAGCAUGAAGCCCCCCUCAAGAUGAGAUUUCCCAUAGCGUAAGCUAGUAAGAUCCCUGAAAGAUGAUCAGGUUGAUAGGUUCGAGGUGGAAGCAUGGUGACAUGUGGAGCUGACGAAUACUAAUAGAUCGAGGACUUAACCAU
Molecule: ribosomal RNA, 1456 nt
Filed under: Bacillus cereus
Lineage: Bacteria; Bacillati; Bacillota; Bacilli; Caryophanales; Bacillaceae
Description: bacterial LSU rRNA
Rfam family: Bacterial large subunit ribosomal RNA
Source: RNAcentral